Molecule: unclassified non-coding RNA, 354 nt
Filed under: soil metagenome
Description: partial contains 5.8S ribosomal RNA, internal transcribed spacer 2, and large subunit ribosomal RNA
Rfam family: 5.8S ribosomal RNA (bases 1-120)
Source: RNAcentral
GAUGAAGAACGUAGCGAAACGCGAUAUGUAAUGUGAAUUGCAGAAUUCAGUGAAUCAUCGAAUCUUUGAACGCACAUGGCGCCUUCCAGUAUCCUGGGAGGCAUGCCUGUCCGAGCGUCGUUUCAACCCUCGAGCCCUCGUGGCCCGGCGUUGGGGAUCUGUCACGGCAGGCCCCGAAAUACAGUGGCGGACCCGUUAGGCCCUUCCUUUGCGUAGUAGCAUUAGCCUCGCAUCGGGAGCCGGCGGGCUCUCCUGCCUCUAAACCCCCCAACAAGCCCGCUCCGGCGGCACCAAGGUUGACCUCGGAUCAGGUAGGAAUACCCGCUGAACUUAAGCAUAUCAAUAAGCGGAGGA